This 253-nucleotide ribosomal RNA is filed under the name uncultured bacterium. RNAcentral's name for it is "partial 16S ribosomal RNA". It matches the Rfam family "Bacterial small subunit ribosomal RNA", at positions 524 to 776 of the family's 1533-position model. The record is from RNAcentral.
UACGAGGGGGGCGAGCGUUGUUCGGAAUUAUUGGGCGUAAAGGGUGCGUAGGCGGUUUGGUAAGUCUCGUGUGAAAUCUCCGGGCUCAACUCGGAGCCUGCACGAGAAACUGCCGGGCUUGAGUGUGGGAGAGGUGAGUGGAAUUCCUGGUGUAGCGGUGAAAUGCGUAGAUAUCGGGAGGAACACCAGUGGCGAAGGCGGCGACCUGGGCCAAUAUUGACGCUGAGGUGCGAAAGCGUGGGGAGCAAACAGG